CCAACACACCUUAAAAUAACUCUAGUCAAAAUGAACUCUUCAAACUAUGAGGACUAUUUACAUAAAAUAUGGUAUGACUUAAAACAUCCAGCAUCAUUUACAGGCCCUGACAAACUAUAUCGUAUAGUUAAAAAAGAAGGCAUAUUUAAAAUUGGAAGGCAUAAAUUAAGGCAAUGGUUGCAGGAUCAGGACCCAUACAGUUUAUCUAGAAAUACAGUGCGUAGGUUCAGGAGAAGUAGAUAUGUUGUUAACACUAUUGACAGUUUAUGGGAAAUAGAUUUGGCCCAAUUUGAUAGCAUUGAAAGUGAAAAUUUAGGAGUGAAAUUUUUGCUGUUUGUUAUUGACGUCUUCUCAAAAUAUUUAUGGAUAGAGCCAAUGAAAGAUAAAACGCAUAAA
Molecule: long non-coding RNA, 396 nt
Filed under: Mytilus galloprovincialis (Mediterranean mussel)
Lineage: Eukaryota; Metazoa; Mollusca; Bivalvia; Mytilida; Mytilidae
Source: RNAcentral